GAUUUCUUUAAUCUAUAUUCAUGGGAAAUUGGAUUUGGCAUUCGUUAUGGGCGUAGUAACAAGAAUAAUAAGGGGUAUACCACGAGGCAAGACAUUGUAUGUUUGUGCGAGGUCUGCGUCUAUUCUCCUAUUAUUUUUUUGGUUCUCUUUUCGUGAUCAUAUAUUACCGUUUUCUAUCUUUUAUGUGGUUGUUAAUUUAUAUACAACUAAUUGGUUGGUUAAUUCGGGCAGGGAUCACCACGUAGUAAGAAUUGUGCGUCUGUGAGGAAUGGCUGCACAGUUAAGAUAAGGUUGCUUAGAACAAGUGAUCAUGGAUGGUACAUUAGUCGGGUUAACACAAGCCACAACCGCAAACUAUCUGAGAGGUAUGCAGAGAAGAAACAGUGGAAUUCUCACAGUAUGAUAGAUCCGAGCACUAAAUAUUUCAUCAAGAGGCUACGUGACAACAAUGUGAGUAUUGGUAGGGUUUGCAGUAUUAUAGGUGUCACAGAUAGCAGUGCCAUGAAUCCAGUCCAGAAAGAGACAAUUAGGUCAUUAUGUGCGAAGGUAGCAAGGGAAAAUAUGACUGAUGAUAUUGGUAAAACCACCAAACUUUUACGAGAAAUGAAAAACAAAGACCCACUGAUGGAAGUAAGGUUCAAGGUUGAUGAGCAGGGCACAGUUAAAUCUAUGCUUUGGUGUACUGGAAAGAACAGGAUGGAUUACAAGAAUUUUGGCGAUGUCUUUACAUUUGAUACAACCUAUCGUACUAAUUUGUAUAGCCUGCCAUUUGGGAUUUUUGUCGGUGUUAAUUGCCAUUUUCAGUCGAUUUAUAUUUGGUGGUGUUCUACUGUCGACUGAGACAGCAGAAGACUUCCAAUGGGCAUUUCAAAAUUUCAUUGAUAUAAUGGAUGGAGCAGCUCCAAUAACUAUUUUAACAGUUUUAUUGAUGUAGAUCAAUGUGCGGCAAAGGCAAAGGCAAUUCGGAUUGUUUUGCCUGGAACACGUCAUUGAUGGUGUCGGUGGCAUGUCUUGAAGAGUGCUAAGAAGAAGUUAGGGAAAGUUAAUGCGAAACAAAAGCAAUUCAAGAGUGAUUUUUAUAACCUAAUCACCAAUGAGAUUUGUGUUGAGGAUUUUGAAAGCUCGUGGAAGAAGUUGAUCACAAAGUAUGGGCUUGUGAAGAGCAAGUAUAUGCUACGGCUAUACAAGCAUAGGGAAAAAUGGGCCAAACCAUAUUUUAUGAGUGUGUUUUGUGCUGGGAUGACGAGCACGCAAAGGAGUGAAAGUGCAAAUCAUAUGCUUAAGAGGUAUAUUCAGAAGGCCGCGCCUAUGCACUUGUUUGUAAGUUCAAUGAGUUCCUUUGUGACCGGACAGAGCAAGAGGCUCGGGAGCUACAUGUCACAAAAAGGGUUACAAGGAAAAUGAGAGUCGGGGCUCCGAUCAAAGAGCAUGCUGAUUCAGUGUGUACUCGAGCUAUGUACAAGAAAUUCUAUGAUGAGUUAUUUGAGGCUGGGAAGUUUCGUGUUUAGCGGGAAGACGGCACUAACAGUUUUGUUGUUUCCCCUGUGAAAUUGAGCUCAAAUGAGGAACAAAAAAGGUAUGUGGUCACUC
Molecule: long non-coding RNA, 1590 nt
Organism: Panicum virgatum (switchgrass)
Lineage: Eukaryota; Viridiplantae; Streptophyta; Magnoliopsida; Poales; Poaceae
Exons: 3
Source: RefSeq, a predicted model, not a curated record